This is a long non-coding RNA of Capsicum annuum, 732 nucleotides long. RefSeq lists it as uncharacterized. The transcript has 2 exons. The record is from RefSeq and is a predicted model, not a curated record. NCBI's taxonomy places the organism in Eukaryota, Viridiplantae, Streptophyta, Magnoliopsida, Solanales, Solanaceae.
ACGGACGUACAUCUAAUUAAUAAAUCUCCUCAACAACAAUCUAUAAAACUAUGCUAGUUACCAAUAUUUGUGUCUUUCCAAUUAAAUGUAACUACAAAUAAUAUGGCAGCCAAAAAACAUCUAAUACUUUUUAUUGCAAUUGUUCAAAUAAUAAAUCCAUGCUAUUAUGCAUCCAAAAUAUUCAGUAAAGAUGCAAUCUGCAAUGAAGUCGAUGCUUGCUUCGCGUAUUGCGAAGCUUAUAUCGAAGGGAUUGGUGCAAACCCAACCCACGAAUGUUGUGACAACUUACUUAUAUUGAAUGGCAGGGUAAAAUAUAUAGAUAAUGGAGUUCGUAGGUAUUGUUAUUGCAUCGAGGGAUUCAGUAACAGUCAUUAUCAUCCUCAUUAUCUGCAGUCUCGAAUCCAAAGUAUGACUAGCAUAUGUGGUAUUCAUCGGAGCUUCCCCAUCUCUGAACAUAUGGACUGCUCUAAGCUUUAGUAAGAGACUUGAGUUUGUGGAAUAUUGGCUGUUCUCUCAAUAUUUUUAUUUUCUUUCUUUGACACUACGUUAUCUAGGUUAAUAAGUUUGCAUAUAUGUAGUUUUGUAUUUAAGCUAAUGGCAGAUCCAAGAUUUAGAUAUAAGUGGAUCUUGGUCAUUGAGAAAUAGAUUCAAAUAUAUGUAAAUAACUCUAUAUAUGCAUGUUUUCUUGCAAAACAUAUUAUAUGAUCAGAUCUCGAAAUACUGAAUUUUAUC